This 399-nucleotide long non-coding RNA is filed under the name Malus domestica (apple). Its description in RNAcentral is "long non-coding RNA (MDOM_LNC002928)". Lineage: Eukaryota; Viridiplantae; Streptophyta; Magnoliopsida; Rosales; Rosaceae. The record is from RNAcentral.
ACGUUUCCAAAAUAUCCUUUUCAGCCUCCUCCUUCUUUAAUUGCAUAAACCUACGAGGAAAGGGUACAUUUGGAGGAAUAACAUUAGAAUUAAUUAAAAUUGGAAUUUCCUUACCUUUGUUGGCCGAAUUUGAUGGUUUAGGAGCUUUUGGGGCCUGCGGCAAAGGUGUCUCCACCCUUGCCGUGGGGACGCUUUGCUCCUCCUCUUCAAUUAUCAACUCUUCAACCUCAUUGGAACGUGAAUUGGAUGGUUAGGGAUCAGAUCCAACUUGUUUUCCACUUCGCAAAUUUAUGGCUUUUGCAGAUUCGAAUCCUCCCUUCGGGUUGACAACGGUUGAACUAGGCAACUUACUUUGCUCUCUGAAUUGUCCUACAAACUCCGUAAUCUGCCUAAUUUGCU